AUUCGACCUGAGUUCAGACGAGACUACCCGCCGAACUUAAGCAUAUCAAUAAGCGGAGGAAAAGAAACUAACUAGGAUUCCCUUAGUAACGGCGAGUGAAACGGGAUAAGCCCAACUUGAAAA
RNAcentral lists this ribosomal RNA (123 nucleotides) under Tetraselmis inconspicua. Its description in RNAcentral is "partial 28S ribosomal RNA". It matches the Rfam family "Eukaryotic large subunit ribosomal RNA", at positions 1 to 120 of the family's 3401-position model. The record is from RNAcentral. Lineage: Eukaryota; Viridiplantae; Chlorophyta; Chlorodendrophyceae; Chlorodendrales; Chlorodendraceae.